UACGUAGGGGGCAAGCGUUGUCCGGAAUCAUUGGGCGUAAAGCGCGUGUAGGCGGCCCGGUAAGUCCGCUGUGAAAGUCGGGGGCUCAACCCUCGAAUGCCGGUGGAUACUGUCGGGCUAGAGUGCGGGAGAGGCGAGUGGAAUUCCUGGUGUAGCGGUGAAAUGCGCAGAUAUCAGGAAGAACACCAAUGGCGAAAGCAGCUCUCUGGGACGGUACUGACGCUGAGACGCGAAAGCGUGGGGAGCGAACAGG
This 253-nucleotide ribosomal RNA is filed under the name uncultured bacterium. RNAcentral's name for it is "partial 16S ribosomal RNA". It matches the Rfam family "Bacterial small subunit ribosomal RNA", at positions 524 to 776 of the family's 1533-position model. The record is from RNAcentral.